UGGGGAAUAUUGCACAAUGGGCGCAAGCCUGAUGCAGCAACGCCGCGUGAACGAUGAAGGUCUUCGGAUCGUAAAGUUCUGUUGCAGGGGAAGAUAAUGACGGUACCCUGUGAGGAAGCCCCGGCUAACUACGUGCCAGCAGCCGCGGUAAUACGUAGGGGGCUAGCGUUAUCCGGAUUUACUGGGCGUAAAGGGUGCGUAGGUGGUCUUUCAAGUCGGUGGUUAAAGGCUACGGCUUAACCGUAGUUAGCCUCCGAAACUGGAAGACUUGAGUGCAGGAGAGGAAAGUGGAAUUCCCAGUGUAGCGGUGAAAUGCGUAGAUAUUGGGAGGAACACCAGUAGCGAAGGCGGCUUUCUGGACUGCAACUGACACUGAGGCACGAAAGCGUGGGUAGCAAACAGG
RNAcentral lists this ribosomal RNA (403 nucleotides) under Verrucomicrobiota bacterium. RNAcentral's name for it is "Verrucomicrobia bacterium partial 16S ribosomal RNA". It matches the Rfam family "Bacterial small subunit ribosomal RNA", at positions 355 to 776 of the family's 1533-position model. The record is from RNAcentral. Lineage: Bacteria; Pseudomonadati; Verrucomicrobiota.